GAUGAACGCUGGCGGCGUGCUUAACACAUGCAAGUCGAACGGAAAGACCCGGCGUUUGCGGGUUUCUCGUUAGCGGCACGCGUGUGUAUCACGUGUGUAACAUGCCCUUAACUUUCGGAUAUAUUCAGGAAACUGCGGCUAUUACCGGGUAGAAGCUCCUGAUGCGUAGGGUGGAAUGGAAAAUGUCGGCGGUUGGGGAUGGUCUCGCGGCUUAUCAGCUUGUUGGGCGGGUAGUUGCUUACCAAGGCUGUGAAGGCUAGGCGGCCUGAGAGGGUGAACGGCGACAUUGGGACUGAGAUACGGCGCAGACUCCUACGGGAGGCAGCAGUGGGGAGUAUUGCACAAUGGGCGGAAGCCUGAUGCAGCAACGCCGCGUGCGGGAUGACGGCCUUCGGGGUGUAAACCGCUUUCGCCUGUGACGAAGCGGGAGUGACGGUAAUGGGUAAAGAAGCACCGGCUAACUACGUG
Molecule: ribosomal RNA, 468 nt
Filed under: uncultured bacterium
Lineage: Bacteria
Description: partial 16S ribosomal RNA
Rfam family: Bacterial small subunit ribosomal RNA
Source: RNAcentral